UAGUAUUAGCCUUACAAUGCAGUUUUAAGUAGAUCUUUAUUUAGAUUAGAAUUUAGUCCAACAAAAGAACAAACUACCAAGCUACACAAGGUAAAAACAUUGUUACUUUUGUUUUAUUUAUUAUUCUUCACAAAAACUAAUAAUAAUAAUUUGUAUUAUUAUUAUUAUUAUCCAGCAUUAAAACCACUAUGUUAGAGGAUGUUAGCAGGCCAGUGAGGAUGAGUCAGCAGGAAAUGGGAUUUCUGUUUAGAAGGUUGCGUCAGCAUGAAGCAAAUCUGUCAAAGCAGCUGCAUCUCAUCGAUAGAAAUGCAAUCAACACAGGCUGUCUCAUACAGAGGCACCGCUGGCCUGUCACACAGCCAUCUGUUCAGCAAAGUCAACUUCAUCUCACCUCACACCUCUAUUUCACCAUCCCAUUACUGUUUCGUUUUUUUUGUCCUUUUCCUCUUUUUUUGCAUAGCUAGGAUAUAAAGAAUAAAUUCAUUAAGAAAUCCUCUGUUUUCAUUCUUUGCUGCACUUGGAUGCUGUCCGUUAGUGCGGCGGUGAUUCAGAAGAGCUGCAUCAGGGAAGGGAGGCUCAAAUGUCCCCAUUUUGAUCCAGCCCAGUUCCACUGUCAACACCUCAGAGUCCACGCAUUUCGCAGCCAGCCAGUCUUAAGUACAACACCCAGAAAUGAGCCACCUGCCUGGUCCUAGUCCCGGUCAUUACUGAGGGGGUCCUGCUGAUGGACUCUAAGGCCCCUGAUGUAGUGUGCUGACGGCAGGGCAUCACGGCACCAGGACUAAACUGUGCCACUGCGCCAUACCCGGACUCUGACCCACUGGAAUCGAGUGGCAGUUUGCCAAAAGACAAAGAAGCCUCUGCCAAUCUCAUCUGUGUCUCCAUUGGUGUGUAUGUCUGUCUGUUCGUAUAUAACUACACGUUAAUUUCAAAAUAAUAUAGAUAUGAGACUGGUGCCACUGGGCAGUGCUCAAGGUGGGAAGUGGGUUUUACUGUUGGGGUGUUUCUUUUUGGUUCUGGCUAUUUAUUUAUUUUUUAACUUUUUUUUUUUUGUGUGUUCAAAGCAUGGACGUGAGUGGAAUGAUCAUAUGAGUGCAUGCAAAGCAAUAACAGCAUGCCACUACUAUACAGCAUAGGAACGUGCAAGAACCCCUCCCACUUAUCUUCAUCCAAAU
Sinocyclocheilus grahami is the source of this 1175-nucleotide long non-coding RNA. RefSeq lists it as uncharacterized. The record is from RefSeq and is a predicted model, not a curated record. NCBI's taxonomy places the organism in Eukaryota, Metazoa, Chordata, Actinopteri, Cypriniformes, Cyprinidae. The transcript has 2 exons.